This 205-nucleotide microRNA precursor is filed under the name Oryza nivara. Its description in RNAcentral is "MIR812 microRNA precursor family". It matches the Rfam family "MIR812 microRNA precursor family". The record is from Rfam by way of RNAcentral. Lineage: Eukaryota; Viridiplantae; Streptophyta; Magnoliopsida; Poales; Poaceae.
AAUAACUCAAUUCCUGAGUUUCUGUGUCCAACAUUUGACUGUCCGUUUUAUUUGAAAAAAUUAUGAAAAAAAAAUUAAAAAAAUAAGUCACACAUAAAGUAUUAUUUAUGUUUUAUCAUUUAACAACAAUGAAAAUACUAAUUAAAAAAAUCAUAUAAGACGAACAGUCAAACGUAGGACACGAAAACCCAGGAAUUGAGUCUUU